CAGAGUUGCAAGACUCCCUAACCAUUGUGAACCGACCUUCUACCAGUUGCUUCGGCGGGCGGCCAGCCCCCCCUGGCCCCGCGGCCCCGCCGGAGGAAUACCAAACUCUUGACAUUAGUGCCUCUCUGAUUAUUCUUUACUGAAUAAGUCA
This 151-nucleotide unclassified non-coding RNA is filed under the name soil metagenome. RNAcentral describes it as "partial internal transcribed spacer 1". The record is from RNAcentral.